UACAGGGGGUGCAAACGUUGCUCGGAAUUACUGGGCGUAAAGCGCACGUAGGCGGACUCUUAAGUCGGUGGUGAAAUCCUGGAGCUCAACUCCAGAACUGCCUUCGAUACUGGGAGUCUCGAGUUCGGGAGAGGUGAGUGGAACUGCGAGUGUAGAGGUGAAAUUCGUAGAUAUUCGCAAGAACACCAGUGGCGAAGGCGGCUCACUGGCCCGAUACUGACGCUGAGGUGCGAAAGCGUGGGGAGCAAACAGG
Molecule: ribosomal RNA, 253 nt
Filed under: uncultured bacterium
Lineage: Bacteria
Description: partial 16S ribosomal RNA
Rfam family: Bacterial small subunit ribosomal RNA
Source: RNAcentral